ACUAAGCGUACACGGUGGAUGCCCUGGCAGUCAGAGGCGAUGAAGGGCGUGCUAAUCUGCGAUAAGCGCCGGUAAGGUGAUAUGAACCGUUAUAACCGGCGAUACCCGAAUGGGGAAACCCAGUGUGAUUCGUCACACUAUCAUUAACUGAAUCCAUAGGUUAAUGAGGCGAACCGGGGGAACUGAAACAUCUAAGUACCCCGAGGAAAAGAAAUCAACCGAGAUUCCCCCAGUAGCGGCGAGCGAACGGGGAGGAGCCCAGAGCCUGAAUCAGCAUGUGUGUUAGUGGAAGCGUCUGGAAAGGCGCGCGAUACAGGGUGACAGCCCCGUACACAAAAGCGCAUGUGCUGUGAGCUCGAUGAGUAGGGCGGGACACGUGGUAUCCUGUCUGAAUAUGGGGGGACCAUCCUCCAAGGCUAAAUACUCCUGACUGACCGAUAGUGAACCAGUACCGUGAGGGAAAGGCGAAAAGAACCCCGGCGAGGGGAGUGAAAAAGAACCUGAAACCGUGUACGUACAAGCAGUGGGAGCUGAGGGAAAGGCGAAAAGAACCCCGGCGAGGGGAGUGAAAAAGAACCUGAAACCGUGUACGUACAAGCAGUGGGAGCCCCACCACUAAGCCAGUGGUGAACUCCACAUACGCAUCCUUUGCUGAGGAUACGGUUAACGGAGCGCAAGCGACGUUCAACCGCAAAAGAAGCAGAGGGGGCUUAGUGGUGGGGUGACUGCGUACCUUUUGUAUAAUGGGUCAGCGACUUAUAUUCUGUAGCAAGGUUAACCGUAUAGGGGAGCCGGAGGGAAACCGAGUCUUAAUUGGGCGUUAAGUUGCAGGGUAUAGACCCGAAACCCGGUGAUCUAGCCAUGGGCAGGUUGAAGGUUGGGUAACACUAACUGGAGGACCGAACCGACUAAUGUUGAAAAAUUAGCGGAUGACCUGUGGCUGGGGGUGAAAGGCCAAUCAAACCGGGAGAUAGCUGGUUCUCCCCGAAAGCUAUUUAGGUAGCGCCUCGUGAAUUCAUCUCCGGGGGUAGAGCACUGUUUCGGCUAGGGGGCCAUCCCGGCUUACCAACCCGAUGCAAACUGCGAAUACCGGAGAAUGUUAUCACGGGAGACACACGGCGGGUGCUAACGUCCGUCGUGAAGAGGGAAACAACCCAGACCGCCAGCUAAGGUCCCAAAGUCAUGGUUAAGUGGGAAACGAUGUGGGAAGGCCCAGACAGCCAGGAUGUUGGCUUAGAAGCAGCCAUCAUUUAAAGAAAGCGUAAUAGCUCACUGGUCGAGUCGGCCUGCGCGGAAGAUGUAACGGGGCUAAACCAUGCACCGAAGCUGCGGCAGCGAGUAAUAGCUCACUGGUCGAGUCGGCCUGCGCGGAAGAUGUAACGGGGCUAAACCAUGCACCGAAGCUGCGGCAGCGAACGUAUCACUUAAAGCGAUUCAGCGGGUUACGAUUGACGGAGCGAAGCGACGUCAAAGCGUAUACAAAGUCGAGUCGGUUUAAGGAUACGUUCGUUGGGUAGGGGAGCGUUCUGUAAGCCUGUGAAGGUGUGUCGUGAGGCAUGCUGGAGGUAUCAGAAGUGCGAAUGCUNGUUGGGUAGGGGAGCGUUCUGUAAGCCUGUGAAGGUGGCCUGUGAGGGUUGCUGGAGGUAUCAGAAGUGCGAAUGCUGACAUAAGUAACGAUAAAGCGGGUGAAAAGCCCGCUCGCCGGAAGACCAAGGGUUCCUGUCCAACGUUAAUCGGGGCAGGGUGAGUCGACCCCUAAGGCGAGGCCGAAAGGCGUAGUCGAUGGGAAACGGGUUAAUAUUCCCGUACUUGGUGUUACUGCGAAGGGGGGACGGAGAAGGCUAUGUUGGCCGGGCGACGGUUGUCCCGGUUUAAGCGUGUAGGUGUGUGUUCCAGGUAAAUCCGGUUCACUUUAACACUGAGGCGUGAUGACGAGGCACUACGGUGCUGAAGCAACAAAUGCCCUGCUUCCAGGAAAAGCCUCUAAGCAUCAGGUAACAUCAAAUCGUACCCCAAACCGACACAGGUGGUCAGGUAGAGAAUACCAAGGCGCUUGAGAGAACUCGGGUGAAGGAACUAGGCAAAAUGGUGCCGUAACUUCGGGAGAAGGCACGCUGACAUGUAGGUGAAGUGAUUUACUCAUGGAGCUGAAGUCAGUCGAAGAUACCAGCUGGCUGCAACUGUUUAUUAAAAACACAGCACUGUGCAAACACGAAAGUGGACGUAUACGGUGUGACGCCUGCCCGGUGCCGGAAGGUUAAUUGAUGGGGUCAGCGCAAGCGAAGCUCCUGAUCGAAGCCCCGGUAAACGGCGGCCGUAACUAUAACGGUCCUAAGGUAGCGAAAUUCCUUGUCGGGUAAGUUCCGACCUGCACGAAUGGCGUAAUGAUGGCCAGGCUGUCUCCACCCGAGACUCAGUGAAAUUGAACUCGCUGUGAAGAUGCAGUGUACCCGCGGCAAGACGGAAAGACCCCGUGAACCUUUACUAUAGCUUGACACUGAACAUUGAGCCUUGAUGUGUAGGAUAGGUGGGAGGCUUUGAAGCGUGGACGCCAGUCUGCGUGGAGCCGGCCUUGAAAUACCACCCUUUAAUGUUUGAUGUUCUAACGUGGACCCGUAAUCCGGGUUGCGGACAGUGUCUGGUGGGUAGUUUGACUGGGGCGGUCUCCUCCUAAAGAGUAACGGAGGAGCACGAAGGUUGGCUAAUCCUGGUCGGACAUCAGGAGGUUAGUGCAAUGGCAUAAGCCAGCUUGACUGCGAGCGUGACGGCGCGAGCAGGUGCGAAAGCAGGUCAUAGUGAUCCGGUGGUUCUGAAUGGAAGGGCCAUCGCUCAACGGAUAAAAGGUACUCCGGGGAUAACAGGCUGAUACCGCCCAAGAGUUCAUAUCGACGGCGGUGUUUGGCACCUCGAUGUCGGCUCAUCACAUCCUGGGGCUGAAGUAGGUCCCAAGGGUAUGGCUGUUCGCCAUUUAAAGUGGUACGCGAGCUGGGUUUAGAACGUCGUGAGACAGUUCGGUCCCUAUCUGCCGUGGGCGCUGGAGAACUGAGGGGGGCUGCUCCUAGUACGAGAGGACCGGAGUGGACGCAUCACUGGUGUUCGGGUUGUCAUGCCAAUGGCACUGCCCGGUAGCUAAAUGCGGAAGAGAUAAGUGCUGAAAGCAUCUAAGCACGAAACUUGCCCCGAGAUGAGUUCUCCCUGAGACUUNAGCUAAAUGCGGAAGAGAUAAGUGCUGAAAGCAUCUAAGCACGAAACUUGCCCCGAGAUGAGUUCUCCCUGAGACUUAGAGUCUCCUGAAGGAACGUUGAAGACGACGACGUUGAUAGGCCGGGUGUGUAAGCGCAGCGAUGCGUUGAGCUAACCGGUACUAAUGAACCGUGAGGCUUAACC
RNAcentral lists this ribosomal RNA (3387 nucleotides) under Salmonella enterica subsp. enterica serovar Derby. RNAcentral describes it as "bacterial LSU rRNA". It matches the Rfam family "Bacterial large subunit ribosomal RNA". The record is from RNAcentral. Lineage: Bacteria; Pseudomonadati; Pseudomonadota; Gammaproteobacteria; Enterobacterales; Enterobacteriaceae.